Molecule: long non-coding RNA, 208 nt
Filed under: Prunus persica (peach)
Lineage: Eukaryota; Viridiplantae; Streptophyta; Magnoliopsida; Rosales; Rosaceae
Description: long non-coding RNA (PPER_LNC001829)
Source: RNAcentral
UGCAUAUCAAUACCUUUUUGACACCUUUGGCAUCCUUAUCAGCACUUUUAUUUUACUGUCUUUGCCAAAUGUCAGCAAAAAAUGCUUUUAACCCACUUAGUGAACAUUGCCAAACUAGCCCAAAAUCUAUUAUCUAUACAUGAGUGAAUAUUUUCUGAUUUCGGACUCAUUUGAUUCCUAGGCAAGAUAUUCCACUGGCACACCCAUA